This 297-nucleotide unclassified non-coding RNA is filed under the name Hevea brasiliensis (rubber tree). Lineage: Eukaryota; Viridiplantae; Streptophyta; Magnoliopsida; Malpighiales; Euphorbiaceae. The record is from RNAcentral.
AGACAGCACAUGAGGGCCACCCAUCCUUGAAAUAUCAUAUGCUUUAAGUGCAAGUUUUUUAGCAGCUUCUGUUAUAGCAUUUCCACAAGUUUCCUCACAACAUUCAUUCACAAGAUCGAUCUUGCCACAGGCAGCAAGUAGGCUAGAGGAGUCCACAGUGCUCUCAAACUCAUGAACAUCUUUGACUGGGCAAGAACCUUCAGUAAGGUUUUCCGGAUGGAGAGAGCAUAUCUUCUGCAGAGUAUCAUUGGCACCCUGACUGACCAGGAGUUGCUGAAAAUCUGAAAGGCAGUGCUU